UGGGGAAUAUUGCACAAUGGGGGAAACCCUGAUGCAGCAACGCCGCGUGCGGGAUGACGGCCUUCGGGUUGUAAACCGCUUUCAGCCAUGACGAAGCUUUUGUGACGGUAGUUGCAGAAGAAGCACCGGCUAACUACGUGCCAGCAGCCGCGGUGAUACGUAGGGUGCGAGCGUUUUCCGGAAUUAUUGGGCGUAAAGAGCUUGUAGGCGGUUUGUCGCGUCGAAAGUGUAAACUCAGUGCUUAACGCUGAGCCUGCUGUCGAUACGGGCUGACUAGAGGAAGGUAGGGGAGAAUGGAAUUCCCGGUGGGGCGGUGGAAUGCGAAGAUAUCGGGAGGAACCACAGUGGAGAAGGCGGUUCUCUGGACCUUUCCUGACGCUGAGAAGCGAAAGCGUGGGUAGCAAACAGG
Molecule: ribosomal RNA, 409 nt
Filed under: bacterium
Lineage: Bacteria
Description: partial 16S ribosomal RNA
Rfam family: Bacterial small subunit ribosomal RNA
Source: RNAcentral